AUGAAAGUGAAAGUGUUAGUCGCUGAGUCGUGUAUGACUCUUUGUGACCCCAUGGACUGCAGCCCGCCAAGCCUGUCAGCCUCCUCCAUCCAUGGGAUUUUCCAGGGAAUCAUCUGUCAGCGCAGAGGCAGAAAGUGUGGUCCUGGAACAGUCUUGCCUCUGAGCUCCUUGGAAUCUCACUUCCUGGAGACUGAUCUCUGUGGGGAAACAGAAGCGGCACGUGAAAAAUCUCCAUUAUUAAUAGAGAAUGUGAGUGUUUACCAGGCCCUUUUCUUACAGUCUGUGAGUGCAGGCCAACCAUCCUUUUCCACAUCCUUGGAGCCAGACGUGCUUCAGAAUUUGGAAUUCAAAGGACCCAACCCUCUGAGAGUAGGGUUGAGUCUUGAUAAGGAAUUGGAGGCCCAGAAGUUACUGAAUCAGGUCUGGUUGCUUGCUACUCAAAAAUCAAUGCUCAAGAGAGAAACAAAUGUUGGUGGUAAGAAAAGUUGCUUUUAACCAGAAUGCUGGAAGCGGAGUAGAGAUGGUGGACUCAGUGUAACCAAAAACCACCUCUGAAGAUUUUGUUUGAAUCUGAAAGUUUUAAAGGGAAAAGAAGAAUAAUCCUUUGAGAAGAGAUAGACGGGUCUUAGGCUGAGCAGCUGGAGUCUGUCUCCUGUGGACAGAUACUUCAUGAUAAAGAUAGCGGCUGGGGCAAGGAGGAGCCGGGUCCUGCUUGGAUGAAAGAUAAAGAGACCACAUGUUUCUCAUCCUUGAGGCCAAGGAGACCUCCCACACUACACGUGUGCAGAAAGGUUUCUCAGGGCUCAGAGAAGGGAGCGGGCGUCGCGCUGUAACGUGUUAGGUCAAUUUCCCGGAGACCCUUGCUCUGGAAUCCAUCUUGGCUAAAAGAUGCCAGUGCACACGGAGGAGGGCCCUGAGCCAGACCACAUGUGGACUCAAAGCCAGAGCAAGAUGACUGGCCAAAGGAAACCCAGAAGUACCUCCCCCGUAUAAGCCCUCAGCUCUUUCUCUGAACUCACCUGCAUGUCCAUCUGCAGGUGCUUCUUUUUUCUCCUGAUAAACACUUUACUGAUUCCACUACUUUCCUUCUCUUUGCUGAAUUCCUUCUUAAGAGCAGACAAAGAGCCCGGGCUCUGCUCCUAGCUAACUGUCCCUGGUGGGUCCAGUGGCUAGGAUUUGGUGCAUUCACCUUCAUGGCCUGUGUUCAAUCCUUGGCGGUGGAACUGAGAUCCUGCUUCAAACGGCCACCCUAGAUCCAUCUCAGUUGAUCCCUGAGAUAGGAGGUCAGGGCUGUUGCCAUGCCCCACUUUGGGCAGGCUUGUCCACUCCUUGUGAUCUUCACCAAGAUAUUAUCUUGUUCACGCAGUUUUGAGAUCACCAAAGAGAGAGCAAGGAAUGAGAUCUGGUCAUCUGUUAAUUACUCAUUCUUCCUUUCUACUUCCUGAUCUAUGGAAAGAACCAGCAAGUAAGGCAAAGUGUGUGAUUAAAAGAUCUGAAGGGUGUGCGUGGGCCAGAGAUGCAUAGAGCGUGGGGGUGCCUGGUUUGAAAGCAGUGACAAUACAGCUCUGCUGAAGGGAAGGGACUCCCACUGAGGGCAGUUUCCUGCAAAGAGCUGCUUACACAGACACAGCUGGAUUUCAGAGUAAGUGUGUGCAGUAGCUCCCCUUCCUCACCUGCUUUUGAAUGGGGUUUUCUGUAGUGGCCAUCCCAUACCUGUUUUGUAUAGGGUGUAUGUUGGGUGUGAUGGGGGAGGGGAAAGGAAUCUGAUUACUUGUCUCUUUAGUCAACAGCUCUCUAAUUCAAGAACUUGUAUUAAAGGAGCAGCACCCAGUGAAUUACACCCAACGGGUCUCAUCCACACCUGAAGCUGAUGUACAUGGCGAGAUCAAGCUUAUGCUGUGAUGGCUGGAAACAGGAUUCUCAUAUGGGCCAGUCCCUGCCCAGACCCUCCAGCAAGUUGCUCUGAUAGGAUGCACACCCCCGUGCAAACACACCGUCUGCAAAGAGACCUGCAGCUCAGCCUUCCAGGGCCUGUGGCUCUUGCCUAAGUUUCUCAGAUGGUCCUUGUUCACUAUCUCUCAGCCUUAGAAGGAGUAACUGCUUUCUGCAAAAUUGCUACCAUAAGCAGAUAGGUUAGGGGGUCCCCAGACAAAGAGAACAAGGAAUGGUUUUCUUGACAUAAGAGAAGUCAUUUUUGGCCCAAGCCAUUUUAUAAUCAAAGCCUGGCCUCACUGUUUGCCCUUGAACAUAUCUCAGUAAUUAACGAUCUUAAGGGAACGAAGGCAUGCAGGAACAGAAAAAAGGCAGCCAAACAAUAGUACAGCGAUAAAUCAGAGUCCUGGUGCCUCCUCAAAGGAUAUUCGUAAAAAUAUAUCUUUGAUUGCAGAAACAGAGACCCCACACACAGGUGGAAGAUGGAAUGAUGACAUUGAGCCCCCUUACUUCAGUUAACUAAAGCCUGGACUCUUGUCAGCCUUUGCCAAAAUGCUAUGCUGAAUUCUCCUCUGCCAAGCCCCUUCGUGAAUAUACACGUACCCUGAGCUUAAAACUUCCCCAGUUUUGCUGUUCAGGGAGACACUGCUUUGGGAAAGAUCUUUGCUAUUCUCCUUACUUGCUGCAACUAAUAAUGAAUUCUUCCUUCUUCUGCUCUUCGGUUUGGUUGUGUCUAUUCGCUCGACACCCACCAACAGGCAAACCCAGCUUUUGGUUAACGCUAUGUCUGUAGGACUGAGAACCCUUAAAAAUUGUCUUUUAGUGCUUUACCAUCUAUUAAGAGCUAGCAUUUCAUCACGUUUAAUUUUCCUAUUCAGAUUAUUGGUAUGCUUUCUGUCACCUAGUAACUUCUAUCUCAUAAUUUAAACAAAUUCUUUAUUGUACAAUGUAGUUAAGUAUGCCAACUGAUUGUAGGAUCGGUGACAAAGAAAGAAUUGUUUAUGUUGUUUCCAGCAAAGGAAGUAACAAGUUCUUGGGACUAGAUGAUAGGUGAUAGGAUCCUAAUUGUUUUCAUAAUUAUGGCAUCCACUUUGCUGACAUCUAAAAUAGCACUCAUAAUCUCUUUCUGGGUAGCCACUUAAAAGUGCCUCCACUCUACAAAUUCCCAAAGGUGUGCUGAUUUAAAAACAAACUGCAACCUAAAAGUUGAAGAUUAUAUUUUAUUUGGUGGACUUUUUGAGGACUUAAGCCUGGGAGACAGUCUCACAGAUGGCUCUGAGGGAACUGCUCUGAAGAGGUAAGGAAGAAGCCAGGAUGCAUAGGAUUUUGGCAAAAAAAUUCAGGUAGUUGUAACAUCAAAAGAUUACUAUUAAUUAAAGAAAAACCAGGCAUUUCAAGUUAAUGAAUUUGGUGCUUUCCUAUGUAUGUGAAGAUGCAAGAGUUUGGCCUCAUUGAAGUCAUCUUUUGAUUCGUAUCUCAGCUACCUGGAGCCAGUGUCCUGCUUUUCUCCAAUCUGAAUCCUCUCAGGGUACACAGUCAGGGCAGGCUGCAGUGGCUGCUGGCUUGACGGCUUGACGGCCUCAGCAGCCUUUGUUUAUUGACGUGGCUGCUGACCUUCUUUGUCCACGUGUGAAACGUGUCGUGAUAUCAAAUUCAGGAUCUCAAACUGACUUAUUCAGUAGAAACUGAAAAUAUGAUUGUUUCCCCAUUUUCCCAGAGCAGUUAUAUUUUGCUAUAGCAGAUUUUCCUAUGGUCCAAUCGGUUGCGAUUGUGUUGGUUUAUACACAAUUCUUCCUAGGCAAGGGGAGCCAGGUUAUAUAAGCAGAAUUAAAAACCUCAGCAGGAAACAAAAGGCGAAGCUCUCAGAUGGCUACUACCCAGGCGGAAGCCUUUUCAGCUCCAUCUGAAGCAAAUUGACAAUGAACGCCUGCAUGACUUGCACCCUGCUUGAUGGCUGUACCUCUUUCUCUGCUGCCCCUACGUAAGAGCAGCCACUGGCUCAGACAUUGGAGAGAGCCCCUGCUUGUCUCAGAAUGCCAUCCAGAAUCCCCACAUGGUGUGUUUGUGCAUUUACCAAUAUCUUCCAAGGCAGCCUCUAGACAUCAAGGAAAACUGCCAAGGUAAUUAUUUCAAGGUAACAGUGAUCUCUUUUGUAGGGCUUUGGUGACAAAGUUGCUUAGGUUCUAAGUAAUCCACUCACAGCCAUGUUUUCCCCCAUAAUUUUUCAGNNNNNUAAUUUUUCAGAAUUUCGCCAGAAACAUGUAUUAUGUGUAGAAGGAAUGCAUACUGUAUAGUAGCAGAAGUAAUACAUUUUAUAACAAGUGCUGGAGAGGAUGUGAAGAGAGGGGACCCCUCCUACACUCUUGACAGGAAUGCAAAUUGGUGCAGCCUCUAUGGAAAAUAGUAUGGAGAUUCCUCAAAAAUCUAAAAGUAGAGUUGCAACAUGAUCCAGCAUUUCGCUCCUGGGUGUAUUAAUACACCUGUGCUGCGAAGAAGAACCAGUUCUGACUCCAUUUUGGAAAUGUUUCUUUUGAGUUGCUUUUCGUUGCUGUUGUUACUAUAAUCAUACAUAAUGACCUGUCUCAGAGGACUCUUCUGCUUAAGAAAAAGAAAUGCAAAAAGGGAAAAUGGUUGUCUGAGGAGGCCUUACA
This 4583-nucleotide long non-coding RNA is filed under the name Capra hircus (goat). RNAcentral's name for it is "lncRNA (ENSCHIG00010001098.1)". Lineage: Eukaryota; Metazoa; Chordata; Mammalia; Artiodactyla; Bovidae. The record is from RNAcentral.